AAAACAUGUCUCUUUGAAAAUUUAAUAAUAAAGAGUUUGGCCUGCUCAGUGAAAUUUUUAACAGCUGCGGUAUUAUAACUGUACUAAGGUAGCAUAAUAAUUUGCCUUAUAAAUUAGGGCUAGAAUGAAUGGUUUGACGAAAAUUAUACUGUCUCUAUUUUAAUUAGUAGAAAUUAAUUUUUAUAGUGAAAAAGCUUAAAUAAUUUAAAGGGACGAGAAGACCCUAUUGAGCUUUAUAUUAGUUAUAAUAAAAAUAAUAAAAUAUUAUUUAUUUAGUUAAAUUAAUAUUAUGUUAAUUAUAUUUAUUAUGUUUAAUUUUGAUUGGGGUGAUCAAGGAAUAAAAUAAAUGUUAUUUAACUUCCUUAAAAUUUUGUUUUUUUAGAAUAAUUAACCAAUAUGAUAUUGCUUAUAUAAUAAGUUACCAUAGGGAUAACAGCGUAAUUUUUUUGGAGAGUUCAUAUUAAAAAAAGAGAUUGCGACCUCGAUGUUGGAUUAAAAUAACCAUAAGGUGAAGAGGCUUUAUUUGGUGAAUCUGUUCGAUUUUUAAAAUUUUACGUGAUC
RNAcentral lists this ribosomal RNA (561 nucleotides) under Enteroctopus megalocyathus. Its description in RNAcentral is "partial 16S ribosomal RNA". It matches the Rfam family "Bacterial large subunit ribosomal RNA", at positions 1810 to 2605 of the family's 2925-position model. Lineage: Eukaryota; Metazoa; Mollusca; Cephalopoda; Octopoda; Octopodidae. The record is from RNAcentral.